UGGCUUCGUGGCUCGGUUGGUUGGGGCGCUGCGCCGGCGUCGCAGAGGUCAUGGGUUCGAAUCCCGUUGAGUCAC
This 75-nucleotide transfer RNA is filed under the name Acropora cervicornis. RNAcentral describes it as "tRNA-Ala". It matches the Rfam family "tRNA". From Rfam's summary of the family: Transfer RNA (tRNA) molecules are approximately 80 nucleotides in length. Their secondary structure includes four short double-helical elements and three loops (D, anti-codon, and T loops). The record is from RNAcentral. Lineage: Eukaryota; Metazoa; Cnidaria; Anthozoa; Scleractinia; Acroporidae.